This 507-nucleotide ribosomal RNA is filed under the name uncultured bacterium. RNAcentral describes it as "partial 16S ribosomal RNA". It matches the Rfam family "Bacterial small subunit ribosomal RNA", at positions 355 to 853 of the family's 1533-position model. The record is from RNAcentral.
UAGGGAAUCUUCCACAAUGGACGCAAGUCUGAUGGAGCAACGCCGCGUGAGUGAAGAAGGUCUUCGGAUCGUAAAGCUCUGUUGUUGGUGAAGAAGGAUAGAGGCAGUAGCUGGUCUUUAUUUGACGGUAAUCAACCAGAAAGUCACGGCUAACUACGUGCCAGCAGCCGCGGUAAUACGUAGGUGGCAAGCGUUGUCCGGAUUUAUUGGGCGUAAAGCGAGCGCAGGCGGAAUGAUAAGUCUGAUGUGAAAGCCCACGGCUCAACCGUGGAACUGCAUCGGAAACUGUCAUUCUUGAGUGCAGAAGAGGAGAGUGGAACUCCAUGUGUAGCGGUGGAAUGCGUAGAUAUAUGGAAGAACACCAGUGGCGAAGGCGGCUCUCUGGUCUGCAACUGACGCUGAGGCUCGAAAGCAUGGGUAGCGAACAGGAUUAGAUACCCUGGUAGUCCAUGCCGUAAACGAUGAGCGCUAGGUGUUGGGGACUUUCCGGUCCUCAGUGCCGCAGCA